AUACAGUCUUGUAUUUGGGUAAUCUUCGGGAUAUAGGUGAAACUGAUGGCUGUGGAUAUAUGAAGGGUUUUCUCUCUGUGCUCUGGGUGGGAAACAUCUGAGAAGCAGGAGGGCCUGAGGACAAAUGGGCUGGCAGCCAUAAAGGUAAUAUAAAUCGUUGUUUUGUUCCCUCUGUGCUUUGCUUUGAUUUUCCCCUGUUUGAGCUAUUUUUAAGGCCCCCAAAAGAGAAGGAGGAUGACCUUAGACUGUUCCCUCAUUUUUUUGCUCAUUAUUUAGGUCUAGUUUCUGCCACAGCUGUUUUGGUCUUUUAUUUUCCAGUUUACUGUUCCUCUUGUUUACCAGUCAUGAUUUCAGCAUGUUUCCUUGUGUUGUGCUUGGUCCAAUUUGUCUUAAACCUGAGUUUCCCACAGAACAGCAGGAGUAGCUGCAGCAGAACUCAGCAGCAGCCAUCUGCUUGAAUAUUUACCCACCUUCCCAGCGAGAUUUUGAGUCUGUUUCUGAAUUCUCAGCUGCUACAGAGGUGUUGUUAUCAGUAUCCCACAUAACAAAAAGAAGGCCAGCUUGGUUGCAUCUGCAAGGUGGUGGUUGGAGAGUUGCUGCACGGAGACACACUUCAAAGGAAACCAUCAAUGUGAAGAUGUUAGAAAUAUACUGGACACUUCCUACCCUGUGUGCACCAUAUGAAUUUUCCAAAGUGAUUGUAAAUACCCUCCCCUCUGAACAUCGGUAUUUGAUGCCCAGGCUUUGGCACUCAGCAACAAAUAGAUCAGUGCAACAAAGAGGGAGAAAGAUCAGCCCCUUAGGGUGAGGCAAAUUCAUCUUUGGACUGUUUUUUACACGUCUUCGAGGCAAGUGUUGAACCGAUGUCUUGAGCCAUAUGGGGGCAGCACAGUCAUGAAACAGCUCGAGCUUCUCACCUACCGGAACAGCAAGCCAGCACUGUGGAGACAAAAGAAGGUGCCUUAUCGCUACGUGAUCCAUGGCAGAUGCAUUUCAGCCCAUGUGGAGACAAAAAUGUUGCUUGAGAAGAAAGCUACAUCUUUCAACACAGCAGGAGCUAAAAUAAGAUGUUAACAGGCUCCGUUCGUCAGCUACCCAGCAACUAUAAAGGAUUAGAUCUUUUCUGAAAAUCUUCCUGAUAACAGCACCUGCUGAGAUUUGGUAAUUCCUAGCUUUUAUUUCACUCUAAUGCAAACACAGCCUGUUUCUGCAUCCUGAUUUACAGUUGCAGUACAAAGGGGUCAGUCUCACAGCCUUUUAUCACACACAUAACACUUUUGCUGCAACUGAGUUUGAAUAACAACUUAUAACCAAUCCGCAGGGGCUAAAAUUUAGCCUGAAACAGGAUGGAGAGCCCUUGUUAGACAAAAGUGAAGGCAUCUCAAGUGAACAGAAUAUUGUGCAUGUGGAAUAUACUUGCAAGAGUUCAGCUAGAACUGUCCUUUCUGAUAGACGAUAUAAAGCUUGCUUCCGCAAGUGAUCUCAGAGUCCAACAGCCAUGAACUUUCAGAUACAUGCAUGUCUGAAGACAAAUUUCCAGCCUAUGUGGCUCCGGAGCUUGG
Anser brachyrhynchus (Pink-footed goose) is the source of this 1562-nucleotide long non-coding RNA. Lineage: Eukaryota; Metazoa; Chordata; Aves; Anseriformes; Anatidae. The record is from Ensembl.